UACGGAGGGUGUAAGCGUUAUCCGGAUUUACUGGGUUUAAAGGGUGCGCAGGCGGUUAUGUAAGUCAGUGGUGAAAUCUCUAGGCUUAACCUGGAAAUUGCCGUUGAUACUAUAUAUCUUGAAUGCUGUGGAGGUAAGCGGAAUAUGUCAUGUAGCGGUGAAAUGCUUAGAUAUGACAUAGAACACCUAUUGCGAAGGCAGCUUACUACGCAGAUAUUGACGCUCAUGCACGAAAGCGUGGGGAUCAAACAGG
This 253-nucleotide ribosomal RNA is filed under the name uncultured bacterium. Its description in RNAcentral is "partial 16S ribosomal RNA". It matches the Rfam family "Bacterial small subunit ribosomal RNA", at positions 524 to 776 of the family's 1533-position model. The record is from RNAcentral.